Molecule: long non-coding RNA, 4874 nt
Filed under: Salvia miltiorrhiza (redroot sage)
Lineage: Eukaryota; Viridiplantae; Streptophyta; Magnoliopsida; Lamiales; Lamiaceae
Description: long non-coding RNA (SMIL_LNC008464)
Source: RNAcentral
GGGCUUUUCUUUCAUUGCCGUCUUCCCGUCAGCCUCCACUCCACACGACCACUCCAGGUGCUUCCCGUCUGCCGUGCCUCCCUCCGGCCACCGGCGCCGACCACCAGCUAGCGCCGCCGUCUGAAAUACUCACGACCACUCCAGGUGCUUCUCGGAUUUCAAGUUUUCAGAGUUUUCAACUCUGAAAUACUCUUCCCACCGACCACCAGCUAGCGCCGCCGUCUGCUACGAACCAGCGCCACCGUUUGGAACUAACCGGCGCCGCCGCUGCCCCCUAAGACAGCAGGUUAGUAUUUCCUUCUCACUCUCAAACUUGAUAGAUUAGAUAAUAAUGGUGGAUGGGUGUAUUUGUGAUACAUUCUGAUUUCUGAAAUGGAUUUAUGUAAUUAUGCCCCACCCCUAGCUAGUAAGCUCCGCCCCUGUUUGUGUAAGAACUUGUUGAUGGCAUUGUGUGUUGCUUUUCAAAAAAAUUGAAUCUUUUCAAAUUGUUCCAUUAAAAUCAUGAUGACAGAAUUGCUUUUGAAGUAUCAUGAGGUUUCAGAACAAGAUGUCUUGAUUCGAAAAUCAUUUGUUUUAACUUCAGAUUAAGAUUAAAUCAUAGCUGAAGUUUUAUCUGCUAGAUGCAUAUUUACUCCUUGCCAUAGUCUAAGUGUGGACUGAACAGAUGAAUUGGAGUGCAUGUUGAACUACUACAUUAGGAUUAGUAAAUUUCUACUAUAUAAAUCACAUGAAUUUUGUUUACUUUAAUUGUUGCCUAGGUUGGAAAUUCAUAAUUAUUAGAGUUGUUCUGUUUUUUUUUUUUUUAAAUUACAAUUCUCUAUAAAACAUUUUUUUGUUCCAAAUAAUUAUAGGUUAUGAGUUGGUGUACUGGAUAGGACUCCAUCCUUUCUUCUAAAGGUGAGUUCAAAUCCCACAUCCUACAAAAUUCAAUUUUUUUAAAAUUUCAUAAAAUACAAGUUAACCGGUCCAUUAACCGGUUCGGUUACCGGUUAGGAGAUUGCUCCUUAUCCGGUUCCGGUUAACCGGUAAACCGGUUCAAUUAAAAUCGAACCGUUUAACCGAACCGGACCGAUUACCAGCCCUAAAAAAUACACAUAAUUUGUCACUUUUCUGAUUUAUAAUAUAUUAAUAUGACCUUUUAAUUUGAUCAGAAAAUACACUACUUUUUAAUUUGAUUGUAAUUGUUAUAAAUCAAAAAAUUGGCAAACUAUGUGUAUUUUUUGGCAAUAGCCCCAUCAUUUUUUUUUUCCCGAUUAAAAUAUGUUGACCCUAAAUAUUUCGACACACUAGGUUUCAGGCUAGCCUGUCGAACCUGCAAAUUUACGAUUUUUUUACAUGUAUGAUUUUUUAUUGAUAAUCAUAUAAUUGUAAGAAAAAAUAGGCCUUGUUUUUUUUAGUCAAGACACUUCAACUCGUUUUAGAAUUUGAUAUUUUGGGCUAAUCAGUUUGUUUUAUUUUUCGAAAUAAAAUAUGUUGACUCUAAAUAUUUCGACCCACUAGGUUUCAGGCUAACCCAUCGGACCCGCAAAUUUAUGAUUUCUUUACAUGUAUGACUUUUUUUAGGGUAAAUAUCACUUUCUGUCCCAUCGUUUGUUCGAAUUAUUGAUUAUGUUUCAACUUUUCGAUAAUAUCUAAUUGGUACCCAACCUACCAACAUUUUUUUAAUUGUGUCCCUUAAAAAUUUUCCGACGCUCGGAAAUUGACGUGGAACGCUGGAAAUUUAUUACGUGGAAUUAUUAAUCCACUUGGAAUUGCCAACAUUAUUAUAGUACUUUAUUAUACUUAAAAAAAGAGUAAAAUAAUACAUCCCCUAAACUAAACGUCGUCGUAUCCAAUUCAUCAAAAUCCCAAAUCAAAGAACAUAUCCAGAAUUGCAGAUAACUUAAUAGUAAAUGCUCUUGAACAGUUCAAAUUCGAUUUGAGGCAUAAGCAAAUGGGCGGUUCGAAGAAGAAGAAGAAGCGGAGCGGUGGCAGAGGCCACCGCGCCCAGUCAAAGGACCAUCACUCGACUGACGCCGAUAAUUCUAAAAUUUUAACCAAGGAAGUAACUGCGUUGUGAGUUUUUUCUUAUUUUUGAAUUUUUAACGAACACAUUUUAUAUUAUUGUUGUUUUAAUCAUUCUAGUGAACUACUAUGUGUAGAUAUUUUGUUCAGUGAAUGUACGGUCAAUAGUUUGAGCUCCUGAAUCACCUCCUCGUAUCAACAUCAAGCUCAGGUUCCAGAUUUGUGAUAAUUCAUGGACAUUAAACCUUAGGCUUCAUGUACUUGGUGCAGAUGCUUACCAGGUUAUCCAUAUAAAUGCCCGAAGCUGCAGAUAAUACCAGAGAAAAAGCUUAUAAAAAACUAAUGCUGAUAAUCUUUUAUCUUUACUUUAUGAUCAUGUAGGACCUUAGUGAUAGCCAGAGGAGGAGGACGAUUACUAGAUAUGUUCUUUAAUUUGGGAUUUUGAUGAAUUGGAUACGACAGCGUUUAGUUCAGGGGAUGUAUUAUUUUACUCUCUUUUUUUAAGUAUAAUAAAGUAUAAUAAUACUGACAAUUUCAGGUGGAUUAAUAAGUCCAUGUAAUCAAACUCUUCGGGCGCCGAAAAUGUUUUAAGGGACACAAUUAAAAAAAUGUUGGUAGGUUGGGUACCAAUUAGAUAUUAUCGAAAAAUUGGGAUAUAAUCGAUAAUUCGGCCAAACGAUGGGACAGAAAGUGACAUUUACCCUUUUUUUUUUUAAUUGAUAAUCAUAUUAUUGUAAAAAAAAAGGCCUUGUUUUUUCAAUCAAGACACGACUUGUUUUAAAAUUGAAUAUACAUUUACAUAAUAACAUAAAUGACUAUUUUUCUAUGAUUUUUAUGUCAUAAAUAUUUAUUAUUAAUCAUUGGAGAAAUCCAAAAUAUAUUCCACAACAUCGAAAUCUUAUCGAACUAGAAAGUAAGUAAUAAAAUUUGAAAAUCAAUUAUAAAGAAAAAGUUCGGUUAAUCGGGACAACCCAUUUAAUUUUCGGGCUCGAACUAUUUUAUGUUCGUGUCAUUUGGACUGAAUUUUUUUUAGGCUAAAAUUUUUCAGUUUAAUCCUUUUUUUCCGAUCUUUUUGGGUCAGUUUCAUGUUGUUGUUGUUGUUGUUGUUUUUUUUUUUUUUUUUUUUGUAAUCAAAGUUUCAGGCUUUUAUUGAUAUCUCUAUAACCAUAAUAGUUGAAGCUUAUUAUUUGACGAAGUAAAAGGACGUUACGGACUGAAGUCUACACCCCUUGGAUUUCUCCCUAGGGUCGGAGCCGAGGCAACCAUUAUUUAGUAAGCUCCAUACUCACCUCUUUUCUGGUAAAUCAGUUAGUUGAAGUAUUUUGCCGCUGCUCUCUCUUGCAGUGUUUUGAUGGUGGUUUUACAUCUUCAGAUCGGAAACGACAGUCGCCUCCGGAAAUCGGGUGUGCUAAUAUAGUUGAUAACUGUAAGUAUGAUUAGAGCUUUCAACCACCAUUUUAUGUCUAAUUAUUGGUCUUGAUGUUUUGAGAUAAAUGUGAUUUUUGUGAUUGCUUUGAAACAAUUUUCUUGGUAGAUUGUGAUAAAUGAUUGUUUUACAAAUGAAUUUCUGCCGCUUGUGGGGAUAUUCUUGAAUUAUUGAUCUAAUCAGUUGUUCGAUUAUUUGAAGCUGGAUUGAGCUGCUUCAUUUGCAUUCUUUUUCAGCGUGUGUGUUGUAGGAAGAUAGAUCAAGACUUAGAUUUCGAGUUGAAGGAACUUUAUGAAUGAUACCAUUAAUCAAGAUAGAAAUAGUGCAUAAUUCUAAUUAGCCUAGAACACUUACCAGUUACCAUCUAUUUUUAGGAAACGAUUGAAGUAAACUUGGUCAGGUUAGAAAUCAUUUCUUUUGGGAGAUAGUCAGUGUAUCUAUCUUCUUGCAAUAGUGCGUUUGCAUUAAUUUGUGCACAUUGCCACACAACUAUCUAGCUUCCACAUCACUCAUUGUUAUUGUCGCAAAGCUGGAGUUUUCACUUCGUGAUGCACUCCUCAAGAAACUGGAUCUGCUUUGCAGGAAGAAUCCAGGUUUCUUGGGUUGAGGCAACACGAUAUCCUCACUACUUAACAUCAGAACCACAGACGGCAUCAUUGGCCUCUCGUCUGCUGCAUUCUGGGCACAUAAUAACCCUAUUUGGAUGCACCUCUUUACUUGGGGUUCCACGCACGAAUUUUUGUAGCUUGGAUCGAUCAUCUCCAACUCUCUAUUUUCCUGCCAAAGUAGCCAUGCCUGCGACAAAUAUAUACAUUUUAUUUUGUAUUAAGUGGAUGCAAACAUAACAAGGUUUUCAAAGGGAAACACACUCUUUAUUUUGUGAGUUUGUGUCUUUGGCACUAAAGAGCAACAUAAUAUAUUAGUUCACCUGUUCGAGAAGGUUCUGAUAGCAACAAGGAUGCUUGAAGCCUCUAUUCCUUUUCCCACUCACAAUCUCCAAUAUUACUACUCCGAAGCUAAAUAUGUCCGACUUGAAAGAGAACUUUCCAUCAAAUGCAUACUCCGGAGCCAUGUAGCCGCUGUUAAGAGAUCUUAUGCAUUAUGUUCUAUGAAAAGAUUAUGUAUACAUGACUACUUUUGUGUUUGUGUGUGUGUGUGUGUGACACACUUACUAUGUCCCAACAACUCGUUUUGUUCUUGCUGUAGUCUGAUCGCCUUCAAUCAUUCUAGCUAGUCCAAAAUCUGAGAUCUUCGCAUUUAAAUUCUCAUCUAAUAAGAUAUUGCUUGUUUUUAGGUCCCUGUGGAUGAUUUUUACUCUGGAAUCGUUAUGGAGGUAAACCAUACCCCUUGCAAUCCCCAUGAUGAUAUCGAAGCGCUUUGGCCAAGUCAAUAGUGGCCUUCUUUCUUGAUCUGCAUGUGUUGAAACAUGAAGAGUAUUACUAAG